ACUCAAAGGAAUUGACGGGGGCUCGCACAAGCGGUGGAUCAUGUGGUUUAAUUCGAUGCUAACCGAAGAACCUUACCGAGGCUAGAAACUCCGACGAAGUUUCGGCGAAAGCCGAAAUGUCCUCACGGACGUCGGAGCAGGUGAUGCAUGGCUGUCGUCAGUUCGUGGCUUGAGCUGUUCCCUUAAGUGGGGUAACGAACGCAACCCCUAUCGUGUGUUACAAGUGUCACACGAGACCGCUCCGCACAGUGUUCUUGACCAUGAGGGUCGAGAACAAUGUGCGGAGAGGAAGUUGGGAUGACGCCAAGUCAGCAUGUCCCUCUGACGCCUCGGGCCACACACGUGAUACAAUGGUUGGUACAACGGGCAGCAAUGGCGCAAGCCGGAGCCAAUCCUCAGAAAGCCAACCUCAGUUCGGAUCGGGGUCUGCAACCCGACCCCGUGAAGCUGGAAUCGCUAGUAAUCGCGGGUCAGAAUACCGCGGUGAAUACGUUCUCGGGCCUUGUACACACCGCCCGU
Molecule: ribosomal RNA, 519 nt
Filed under: uncultured bacterium
Lineage: Bacteria
Description: partial 16S ribosomal RNA
Rfam family: Bacterial small subunit ribosomal RNA
Source: RNAcentral